Long non-coding RNA from Labeo rohita (rohu), 992 nucleotides. RefSeq lists it as uncharacterized. The record is from RefSeq and is a predicted model, not a curated record. The transcript is spliced from 3 exons. Lineage: Eukaryota; Metazoa; Chordata; Actinopteri; Cypriniformes; Cyprinidae.
UAAAAAAUAUGGACUCUUUUCGGUCUCUCAUGUCAUUGCUCUGUUUGUGUCUGUAUGGAUCUGUGUUUUUGUAUUUGCCUGACAAGCAAGGAUUCCACAUGCUUUUCUUGUGACUUCACAGUGUACUACAUUUGUGACCCUGGACCACAAAACCAGUCAUAAGGGUAAAUUUUUCAUAUCUGAAAGCUGAAUAAAUGAUGUAUGGUUUACUAUGAUAGGAUAAUAUUUGGCCGAGAUACAACUAUUUGAAAUCUGGAAUCUGUGGGUACAAAGAAAUCAAAAUAUUGAGAAAAUCACCUUUAAAGUUGUGCACAAUGCAUAUUACUAAUCAAAAAAUAAGUUUUGAUAUAUUUAUAGUAGGAAUUUUACAAAAUAUCUUCACGGAACGUGAUCUUUACUUAAUUUCCUAAUGAUUUUUUGGCAUAAAAAAAUCAAUAAUUUUGAACCAUACAAUGUAUUUUUUGGCUAUUGCCACAAAUAUACCCCAGCGACUGGUUUUAUGGUCCAGAGUCACAUUUAAGGUGUUCAUUUGACCUCAUUGUUUUAGGGAGGAAGCGGUAAGUGGUUCUAGUAAAUCUGUGUGGGGUUUUUUUUUUUGCUGGUAAGAACGUGUCUGUGGUAUUUGCUAAGACAAACGUCACAACAACAACUAGAAGUGCCAAAAGUACAGAGUGUUCCUCUUUUUACGGGCCCUUCGACAAUUCAAACAAUAAAGACAAUAGCAAAACUGUUUUUGGCCAAAAAUGUUCAUAUCCAAUCCUAUUCCAAAGUUUUUCUUAUUUUAGUUCUGUUGGAUGUGUGCUGUUCUUGGCUGUUUCUCCAGAUGACCUUUGGUUUUUCUCCUUGAAGGUGCUCAACAGGCUCAGCUACCAACGUCUGAACGUACUAAAUCUAAAUCACUGCUUGGGAAUCUCCGUCAAGCACUCUCUCGUAAUCAUGUUGUAGCAGUUUCCAAAAACAUUAAAUGCUCAACGAAGGACAAUUAUUCCGUA